GACGAACGCUGGCGGCGUGCUUAACACAUGCAAGUCGAACGGAAAGGCCCUGCUUUUGUGGGGUGCUCGAGUGGCGAACGGGUGAGUAACACGUGAGUAACCUGCCCUUGACUUUGGGAUAACUUCAGGAAACUGGGGCUAAUACCGGAUAGGAGCUCCUGCUGCAUGGUGGGGGUUGGAAAGUUUCGGCGGUUGGGGAUGGACUCGCGGCUUAUGAGCUUGUUGGUGGGGUAGUGGCUUACCAAGGCUUUGACGGGUAGCCGGCCUGGGAGGGUGACCGGCCACAUUGGGACUGGGGAAGGGCCCGGACUCAAACGGGAGGCAGCGGUGGGAAAUAUUGCAAAAUGGGCGGAGGCCGUAUGGAGCAACGCCGGGUCGGGAAUGACGGCUUUCGGGUUGUAAACCGUUUUCGCCUGUGACGACGCGUGAGGAAGGGAAAUGGGUAAGAAGCACCGGCUAACUACGUG
This 467-nucleotide ribosomal RNA is filed under the name uncultured bacterium. RNAcentral describes it as "partial 16S ribosomal RNA". It matches the Rfam family "Bacterial small subunit ribosomal RNA", at positions 28 to 507 of the family's 1533-position model. The record is from RNAcentral.